This 375-nucleotide ribosomal RNA is filed under the name uncultured Gammaproteobacteria bacterium. Its description in RNAcentral is "bacterial SSU rRNA". It matches the Rfam family "Bacterial small subunit ribosomal RNA", at positions 521 to 896 of the family's 1533-position model. The record is from RNAcentral. Lineage: Bacteria; Pseudomonadati; Pseudomonadota; Gammaproteobacteria.
UAAUACGGAGGGUGCAAGCGUUAAUCGGAAUUACUGAGCGUAAAGAGUACGUAGGUGGUUCGUUAAGUCAGAUGUGAAAGCCCAGGGCUCAACCUUGGAACUGCAUUUGAUACUGGCAAACUAGAGUAUGGUAGAGGGGGGUAGAAUUCCUAGUGUAGCGGUGAAAUGCGUAGAUAUUAGGAGGAAUACCAGUGGCGAAGGCGGCCCCCUGGACCAAUACUGACACUGAGGUACGAAAGCGUGGGGAGCGAACAGGAUUAGAUACCCUGGUAGUCCACGCCGUAAACGAUGUCAACUAGCCGUUGGGACCUUGAGGUCUCAGUGGUGCAGCUAACGCGUGAAGUUGACCGCCUGGGGAGUACGGCCGCAAGGCUA